This 263-nucleotide small RNA is filed under the name Oryza sativa Japonica Group (Japanese rice). Its description in RNAcentral is "sRNA Os06g0536850". Lineage: Eukaryota; Viridiplantae; Streptophyta; Magnoliopsida; Poales; Poaceae. The record is from RNAcentral.
AGUGAUGUACGAUCUUAUGUUUCUAUCUAGGAUUUGGUCGAACUGCUGUAACUGAACCUAGUUUGCUUUUCUGGCUAGAUUUGGUGAAGAUGUAUGCAUUGAACUUAUUUAUUUUGCUAUGGUCAAUGUACUGAUGUAUAUGAAUAUGACCAUAUUGUGAUCUAUGAGUGAACCUGUGUGGUGAUAGCAUGUGCUAUAUUGGAUGUUAAGUGGGCUUGUGAAGUUGUGAUGUAUUGAUUGUUAACCGGGCAAUCAUUUGAGAU